This is a long non-coding RNA of Dreissena polymorpha, 621 nucleotides long. RefSeq lists it as uncharacterized. The record is from RefSeq and is a predicted model, not a curated record. The transcript has 3 exons. Lineage: Eukaryota; Metazoa; Mollusca; Bivalvia; Myida; Dreissenidae.
AUUAAUGACACAAAAAGUCAUAUAAUCAAAUAAAAAAAAUAUUUCAUUUCAGUGGCUUUACAGAAAUAACCAAAGAACUUGGAGACCUUCUUAAAUGAUGUAGAGUUUACACUGAAGGAGGGGUUCUUAAAGGAUGUAGGUCAAGAUACAUCACCCACAGCCAGUAAAUAGGUGUGCUCAUCAACAGGUCAAGAUACAUCGCCCACAGCUGGUCAGGAGGUGUGCUCAUCGGCAGGUCAAGAUACAUCACCCACAGCUAGUCAAGAUGUGUGGCCAUCAGCACAUCAAGAUACAUUCCCUACAGCCAGUCAAGAGGUUUGCUCAUCAGAACGUCAAGAUACAUCACACACAGCCAGUCAGGAGGUGAACCUUAGGAAAUACACUGCAACAUUAAGCCAGAAGCAUGGACGAAGAUGACCACACUAUAUCAGAUGAGGAUGAAGAGGAAUUUGAGGGAAAGAGAAAAAGGAAGCCCCCCAAAAAGGCUGCAAAACGUCAGAAAUUCACAGAGGUAGAAACAGAGGAAAUAAAAACUUACUUUAGUGAAUAUCUAAAAAGUGGAAUUUGUCGGCGGAAACCGCAGGUUGAACAUGCCAAACAGAAAAGUCGUAAAAAAAAUGG